This 479-nucleotide ribosomal RNA is filed under the name uncultured organism. RNAcentral's name for it is "partial 16S ribosomal RNA". It matches the Rfam family "Bacterial small subunit ribosomal RNA", at positions 330 to 800 of the family's 1533-position model. The record is from RNAcentral.
CGUACACUCCUGAGGGAGGCAGCAGUGGGGAAUUUUGGACAAUGGGCGAAAGCCUGAUCCAGCAAUGCCGCGUGAGUGAAGAAGGCCUUCGGGUUGUAAAGCUCUUUUGUCAGGGAAGAAACGGUGAAAGCUAAUAUCUUUUGCUAAUGACGGUACCUGAAGAAUAAGCACCGGCUAACUACGUGCCAGCAGCCGCGGUAAUACGUAGGGUGCAAGCGUUAAUCGGAAUUACUGGGCGUAAAGCGUGCGCAGGCGGUUUUGUAAGUCUGAUGUGAAAUCCCCGGGCUCAACCUGGGAAUUGCAUUGGAGACUGCAAGGCUAGAAUCUGGCGGAGGGGGGUAGAAUUCCACGUGUAGCAGUGAAAUGCGUAGAUAUGUGGAGGAACACCGAUGGCGAAGGCAGCCCCCUGGGUCAAGAUUGACGCUCAUGCACGAAAGCGUGGGGAGCAAACAGGAUUAGAUACCCCAGUAGUCCCAUGA